AGUGGCCCUUUGUCAAAGCUGCAGUGGUUUCUACACAGCUGCUGUGGUCAAAGAGGAGCCCAGAGUGACAGUUUUCCUUGAUAGUUGUCAUUCUGUUUCUUGUAACUCAUCUGCAACAUUUUGGGAAGAUACAGUU
This is a small nucleolar RNA of Chlorocebus sabaeus (green monkey), 136 nucleotides long. The record is from Ensembl. NCBI's taxonomy places the organism in Eukaryota, Metazoa, Chordata, Mammalia, Primates, Cercopithecidae.